AUACGUAGGGUGCGAGCGUUGUCCGGAAUUACUGGGCGUAAAGAGCUCGUAGGUGGUUUGUCGCGUCGUCUGUGAAAUUCCGGGGCUUAACUCCGGGCGUGCAGGCGAUACGGGCAUAACUUGAGUACUGUAGGGGAGACUGGAAUUCCUGGUGUAGCGGUGAAAUGCGCAGAUAUCAGGAGGAACACCGGUGGCGAAGGCGGGUCUCGGGGCAGUAACUGACGCUGAGGAGCGAAAGCGUGGGUAGCGAACAGGAUUAGAUCCCCUGGUAGUCCAUGCCGUAAACGGUGGGCGCUAGGUGUAGGGGUCUUCCACGACUUCUGUGCCGUAGCUAACGCAUUAAGCGCCCCGCCUGGGGAGUACGGCCGCAAGGCUAAAACUCAAAUGAAUUGACGGGG
Molecule: ribosomal RNA, 398 nt
Filed under: uncultured bacterium
Lineage: Bacteria
Description: partial 16S ribosomal RNA
Rfam family: Bacterial small subunit ribosomal RNA
Source: RNAcentral